GUGCCAGCCGCCGCGGUAAUACGGAGGGUGCAAGCGUUAAUCGGAAUUACUGGGCGUAAAGCGCACGUAGGCUGUUGUGUAAGUCAGGGGUGAAAUCCCACGGCUCAACCGUGGAACUGCCUUUGAUACUGCGCGACUUGAAUCCGGGAGAGGGUGGCGGAAUUCCAGGUGUAGGAGUGAAAUCCGUAGAUAUCUGGAGGAACAUCAGUGGCGAAGGCGGCCACCUGGACCGGUAUUGACGCUGAGGUGCGAAAGCGUGGGAGCAAACAGGAUUAGAUACCCUGGUAGUCCACGCUGUAAACGAUGGAUGCUAAGAUGCGGGGAUAUCUUCGGUGUCGUAGUUAACGCGUUAAGCAUCCCGCUGGGAUACGGUCGCAAGGCUGAAACUCAAAGAAUUGAC
RNAcentral lists this ribosomal RNA (400 nucleotides) under uncultured Desulfovibrio sp. RNAcentral describes it as "bacterial SSU rRNA". It matches the Rfam family "Bacterial small subunit ribosomal RNA", at positions 505 to 914 of the family's 1533-position model. The record is from RNAcentral. Lineage: Bacteria; Pseudomonadati; Thermodesulfobacteriota; Desulfovibrionia; Desulfovibrionales; Desulfovibrionaceae.